CCUACGGGUGGCAGCAGUGGGGGAUAUUGCACAAUGGGGGAAACCCUGAUGCAGCGACGCCGCGUGGGCGAAGAAGUUUUUCGGUAUGUAAAGCCCUAUCAGCAGGGAAGAAGAAAUGCAGGUACCUGAGAAAGAAGCACCGGAUAAAUACGUGCCAGCAGCCGCGGUAAUACGUAGGGGGCAAGCGUUAUCCGGAUUUACGGGGUGUAAAGGGAGCGCAGGCGGCACGGCAAGUCUGAUGUGAAAGCCCGCGGCCCAACCGAGGGACUGCAUUGGAAACUACCGGGCUGGAGUGCCGGAGAGGUAGGCGGAAUUCCUAGUGUAGCGGUGAAAUGCGUAGAUAUUAGGAGGAACACCGGUGGCGAAGGCGGCCUACUGGACGGUGACUGACGCUGAGGCUCGAAAGCGUGGGGAGCAAACAGGAUUAGAUACCCCGGUAGUC
RNAcentral lists this ribosomal RNA (442 nucleotides) under uncultured bacterium. Its description in RNAcentral is "partial 16S ribosomal RNA". It matches the Rfam family "Bacterial small subunit ribosomal RNA", at positions 338 to 795 of the family's 1533-position model. The record is from RNAcentral.